Molecule: ribosomal RNA, 377 nt
Filed under: uncultured organism
Description: partial 16S ribosomal RNA
Rfam family: Bacterial small subunit ribosomal RNA
Source: RNAcentral
GUAGGGUGCGAGCGUUAUCCGGAAUCAUUGGGCGUAAAGAGCUCGUAGGCGGUUCAGCAAGUCGGCUGUGAAAUUCCGGGGCUCAACCUCGGAACUGCAGUCGAUACUGCUGUGACUCGAGUCCGGUAGAGGAGAAUGGAAUUCAGGGUGUAGCGGUGAAAUGCGCAGAUAUCCUGAGGAACACCAGUAGCGAAGGCGGUUCUCUGGGCCGGUACUGACGCUGAGGAGCGAAAGCGUGGGGUAGCAAACAGGAUUAGAUACCCUGGUAGUCCACGCCCGUAAACGUUGGACACUAGGUGUGGCGUUCCGACCCAACGGGUGCCGUGCCGAAGCUAACGCAUUAAGUGUCCCCGCCUGGGAGUACGGCCGCAAGGCUA